This 325-nucleotide ribosomal RNA is filed under the name unidentified low G+C gram-positive bacterium. RNAcentral's name for it is "SSU rRNA". It matches the Rfam family "Bacterial small subunit ribosomal RNA", at positions 1172 to 1497 of the family's 1533-position model. Lineage: Bacteria; Bacillati; Bacillota. The record is from RNAcentral.
GGUGGGGAUGACGUCAAAUCAUCAUGCCCUUUAUGACUUGGGCUACACACGUACUACAAUGGCGUUAAACAAAGAGAAGCAAGACCGCGAGGUGGAGCAAAACUCAGAAACAACGUCCCAGUUCGGACUGCAGGCUGCAACUCGCCUGCACGAAGUCGGAAUUGCUAGAAUCGUGAUCAGCAUGCCACGGUGAAUACGUUCCCGGGCCUUGUACACACCGCCCGUCACACCAUGAGAGCCGGGGGGACCCGAAGUCGGUAGUCUAACCGCAAGGAGGACGCCGCCGAAGGUAAAACUGGUGAUUGGGGUGAAGUCGUAACAAGGU